Molecule: non-coding RNA, 1386 nt
Organism: Carica papaya (papaya)
Lineage: Eukaryota; Viridiplantae; Streptophyta; Magnoliopsida; Brassicales; Caricaceae
Source: RefSeq, a predicted model, not a curated record
GAUAGAUAACCUUGUUUCUGGUCAACCUCCUGUACCAAUGAUGUGGAAGAAUUACACUUGUGAUGAGGUGCCUAAAAGGAAGGAAUCUAACUAUAUGGAGGGUCUCUUUCCAAUACUGAAUUGUGAACCUAAUAACAAAAAUGAUCUCUUGCCAUUAGCUUCCAGAAAGAUCAUUCCAUAUGAAGAGGUCUAUCAACAUGGUUUCGAGACAUCUGGCAAUUCAAAUCCCUCCUGCAAGGAUAAUUAUGCCAAGAAGUCCCUUAGCGCUGUUGGUACACUUUUGGCUUCUAGUACAAAUAACUCCAACGACAUACAUUUGACUGAGGAUGCAAGCGCUAAGUUUAAGAAAGAAAAUCCAAAGGAUGGGCAAGAUUUGCAAAAUAAAGCAAUAAACACAGUAAAGAACAUGAAAACGGUGAAGUCAGUUUUCAUGAUUAACAAAAGUCCCUCCAUGAUAGUUUUAUGGGAACUGGUCUGAAAUUGAAGGAUCCAGAAAGUACCAGCUCAUCAAUUGAUUAUAGCACAGGCAGCGUUGAUACUCGAAUCUUUGACGAUGUAGAUGUAGGUGAAAGUGAAAUUCCAUGGAAAGACCUGGUUCUUGGUGAAAGAAUUGGACUAGAUCCAUCUUUUGCCACACUCUUGUCAUGUAAGGUGUGGAUAAUGCAUAGGCUGCACCAUCCAAAUGUUUUUCUAUUUAUGGGUGCUGUUACUCGUCCUCCAAAUCUUUCUAUUAUUUCUGAGUUUCUGCCAAGUAGAAGUCUUUAUAGGAUUCUUCAUUGUGCUCACUGCCAGAUUGAUGAAAAGCGUAGAAUAAAAAUGGCUCUCGAUGUGGCAAGAGGUAUGAACUGCCUGCACACCAGCAUACCGACAAUUGUUCACCGGGAUCUGAAAUCACCUAACCUUUUAGUUGAUAAAAACUGGACUGUCAAGGUUUGUGAUUUUGGGUUAUCACACUUAAAGCAUAAUACAUUUUUGUGGUCCAAAUCAACUGCUGGAACAGUACCAAAAAAAAUUGAUCAUGUAAAAAUUCAACAGGAGAAAGAAAAACUUAAAAGUAGGCACUGGAAAAAAGUAUAUAGAUGAGACUGAGAGUAAAACUGAAAUCAGAACUCUAGAAGUUGCCUCACUGGUAAAGCUACAUAAAAUGAAUUGAAGAAGUAGAAAAUAGAAAGAAUGAAAUUUUAAUUACUUAAUGCCCUAUAGUUUCAAAAAAAAUUAAUUAAUGCUCUACAGGAGAAUAAAGUUGAUAUAAAGAUUCAAAGGAGGAAGAAAAAGUCAAACGAGGCCAUUGAAAAUAGCUGGGAAUAAAACUGAAAUGAGAGCCACAGAGGUCUCUUCAUGAAUUAGGGCCAGACAAACUGAACGGAAAAAGAAGUUAAGAGGAAA